This 882-nucleotide ribosomal RNA is filed under the name uncultured soil bacterium. Its description in RNAcentral is "bacterial SSU rRNA". It matches the Rfam family "Bacterial small subunit ribosomal RNA", at positions 77 to 959 of the family's 1533-position model. The record is from RNAcentral.
UAGCAAUACAGGGAGAUGGGCGCACGGCGCACGGGUGCGUAACACGUGGGCAAUCUGCCCUCCGAUGGGGAAUAACCCCGCGAAAGCGGGGCUAAUACCGCAUAACAUUCCUUGGACGAUGGUUCGAGGAUUCAAAGCAGCAAUGCGUCGGAGGAGGAGCCCGCGCCCGAUUAGCUAGUUGGUGAGGUAACGGCUCACCAAGGCAAUGAUCGGUAGCUGGUCUGAGAGGAUGAUCAGCCACACUGGAACUGAGACACGGUCCAGACUCCUACGGGAGGCAGCAGUGGGGAAUCUUGCACAAUGGGCGAAAGCCUGAUGCAGCGACGCCGCGUGGGGGAUGAAGCUUUUCGGAGUGUAAACCCCUUUCGCCUGGGACGAAUGCCCGCAAGGGAGUGACGGUACCAGGAUAAGAAGCCCCGGCUAACUACGUGCCAGCAGCCGCGGUAAGACGUAGGGGGCCAGCGUUGUUCGGAAUUACUGGGUGUAAAGGGUUCGUAGGCGGUGUGGCAAGUCGGGAGUGAAAUCUCUGGGCUCAACCCAGAGGCUGCUUCCGAAACUGCUGUGCUUGAGUGUGAGAGAGGCUCGUGGAAUUGCAGGUGUAGCGGUGAAAUGCGUAGAUAUCUGCAGGAACACCCGUGGCGAAAGCGGCGAGCUGGAUCACUACUGACGCUGAGGAACGAAAGCUAGGGGAGCAAACAGGAUUAGAUACCCUGGUAGUCCUAGCCCUAAACGAUCAGGACUUGGGGUGCCGCCCGUUCGGGCGUCGUCCCGGAGCUAACGCGUUAAGUCCUGCACCUGGGGAGUACGGUCGCAAGACUGAAACUCAAAGGAAUUGACGGGGGCCCGCACAAGCGGUGGAACAUGUGGUUCAAUUCGACGCUA